RNAcentral lists this long non-coding RNA (9825 nucleotides) under Theobroma cacao (cacao). RNAcentral describes it as "long non-coding RNA (TCAC_LNC004338)". The record is from RNAcentral. Lineage: Eukaryota; Viridiplantae; Streptophyta; Magnoliopsida; Malvales; Malvaceae.
UACUAUUUUUGAACAAUUAAUACAUGUAUAUACUAAGUACUCAUUAACACAGUAAGCAAAUUUGGGAUGAAAUAAGUUAAUUUUGGUGCAGGAAGCCAUAAAUUUUUCUUGAUGUUUCUCCAUUAUUACUGCAUUUUCUAGGUGUUCCAUAAAGGCUUCCUCACCUGCCACAACACUCAAAACAAACCAAGGAAGGAAUACCCAGUGCUACUCUUACUCAGUUGCAAUAAUUACCUCACCCAGGAUAAUUAAAGGAUGCAUAUUGAUAAAGAAAUCAAAAGUGGAAAGAGAACCUGCCUUCAACUUAUCUUGAUGAAAUGCAGGGUUGAUGAUCUUUCUAUGCUUAGCCCACUCCUCUCCAUCGAGGUUUACAAGUCCACUUACAAGUAAGCUGACAAGAGGGUUGGUAUGCGGCUUCUGAAAGUCAUUGAAUUUGGUAAAUAUCUCUCUUAUUUCUUCAGGUUCCAUGAUGGUCACCCUUGGAAUCGGACCAACCCAAGAAAAAGAAUUCUUGCCUGCAUUUUCCCCAGAUUUCAUAUCAAAGCAUUGGGAAUUAAAAUUUUAAUUCAAAGAUUAAUUUAAUGCUUUCAGUGUGUUUAAUUACUCAAUUUUGAAUAUUCCUUUAAUAAAAUGGUAGGUUGUUGGAAUCUACCUCAUGUACUUAACCAAUAUUUUAUAAUUCUUGUAUUUGAAUACUUAUGUUAUCCAUUAAACUUUUCAAUGCCAUUAAAACAGUAAUAAAAAUUUAUUCAAUAAUCAUUUUUGAUAAUGUACAGAAAGAAGAAGAAUUGAACAAUUAUUAACCCAAACAUGUCAUCAUACCCAACUUCAGCAAAAUGGCUUGUGGGCUCCAAUGGUCUUUUGGCUUAUCCGUCACUUUCAUGUAUUUUUUAGUUUUUCUCCCAUUUGCCAUUUCAAUAUUAAAAUACUCCGGGAAAAAAAUUGGCUUAAAUUACUCAUACUAAACUUGAAUUAUGUUGUUCAGAAAAGAUUUUCCUAUAUUUUUUGAUCUAAAUUUAAACAUUUUCUUUCUGAUAGUAUUUCUUUCAAUUAAUCACUGUUUUCACUGAAUAAAACUUCGCAUGUUCAACAAUCACAGUAAUUGACACAUAUCAUUAAAAUAAUCAUCGAUUAAAUGGAUUCAUUUAAUUAUGUAUCAAAAAAUUGAUACAAAAUUAAAUACAUGUUAAAACUGAACGGACUAAAACCAUUUUUCAUGUUACUAAGAUGGAACAAAACACUAAAAAUUUUGUAAUAAAAUCAUAAUUUGAUCCAAAAAGACAACAUUCAAACUAUUAAGGGAUGAAAGAAGACCAUUUCCAAUUUAGGCAUACCAUAAUUCUUGACAGUUUGAUGAAGGAAAGGACCAACAUAUUGCGUAAUAUCAUCACCGAGGGGCAUAGGUUGGGAUCUUGCUUGUCUGCUCAUGGCGAAGCUCUCUUUGAUAUCUCCAGACAAAAACCUGUAAGAAUUGCCUGUAAGACCCUGUUGCCUCAGGCACCUUUCCAGCCUCUUUGGCUUCACCCACACCCAGUCUACGAUUCUCCAUCCCCAUAUCAAUAUCCCAACAACAAGGAAAGAAAGCGAAAUUCCAAUUACAGGGGGCACCUCCAUUUUUCUUUGCUGAGAAAAUGGUGUCUGAAGAGUAAGUGGGUUGUUUACGGAAGAGUAGACAAAGACUGAGGUUGGUUUAUGGGGUAAAAAGCUUGUGCAAUGGGCAAAGACAAAUGGUUGAUGUUACAGCUGAUAAGAGGUUCCUGGUGUCAAGGCAGGCGACGUGUACCUAAAUAUGACGAUUUNUAAUAAAUUUUAAAAUUAAUAAUAAUAAAAAUAAUUAUAAUAAAACAAAAAAAAAUAAUAUCAAAUAUAAUGAAAUUUAAUAUAAAUCACAUAUGCAAAAUUUAUUAUCAUAUAAUAUGAUAAAAUACAUCAUUAACAUCUAACUUUCAAAUACUAAUAAUAUAAAAAAUCAUUCAUAAUUUUUAAUCGUAAUAAUUACAUUAUUACAUUUAUAAAAUUAAAAAAACUUAUUAAAAUAAUUAUUUAAAAUUAUUUAUAUAAAGACUAAAAUAAUCUUUAAUAAUUAUUUUUAAUAAGUUAAUAAACGUGUUACAUAUACACAUUUAAAUACGAUAACACGAUUAAAAAAAUAUAUUUAAAUGUGUUUGUCGUGUCUGACACGUUAAGACAAAAUUCAAACCAAAUUAAGAGUUUUUUUUUUGAAAUUCAAACCAAAUUAAGAGUCUAGUGUUAACAUUACACCAGCAACAAAAUUCAACUAGGAUGGGAAACACCCAAAACCUCUAUUUAGGGGUUUGAAAGCCCUUGUUUCCAGUGUUUGAAGAAAUCUGAAAAAUGGUACAAAAUUAACCAAUGGUUUAUUGGUUUUCAGAUUUAGACAAGUGAACUUAGAGUAACUUAUGUGAGACUUCGGAUACUCUUGAACCUUGAGCCAAUUAGAUAUUUCACAGACAGAUUGGUUCUCCUGAGUUUAAUUUUCAAUGUCUCAAAAGAUCUUUUUUGUUGCUUAAAAGAGAAAGCACCAUAGUUGAGGUCUAGCAAUUCAUCCCAUAAGUACAUGCUUCAUUGAGAGUUUGAGACUUGGCCCCUACGCUUGUAUUUGAAUUGUGUUACACUAUGAACGCUAGAUUUUGAUUAACAUUUACAUGAUGAACGAUGAACGUGAUUAUUGAUUGGGUUGUUUAACAUAUAACCUGAUGGUUUUACCACUAGAGUUUAUGUAAAAUUAUGUGAGCACCAUGCUGUGGACGUAGAGUGAUGUUGGUGCAGGGAGAGUGAGCAUAGGAAGGGGAAAGCUCGAACCAGAAUUGUCUGAGGAUCAUUGCAAGCGCCAUUUUUGCUUCCAUCAGAGCAAAGUUCUGUCCAAUGCAGAUUCUAGGACCCCAUCCAAAAGGGAAAUAUAUGACUUGACUCUUUGUUGCUUUCGAAACCCCUUCCGAGAACCUGUCAGGAUUGAACUCAUGUGCAUCAUCGCCCCAAAGUUCUUGAUCAUGGUGAAUCAGCAGCACUGGCAGCGUAAUUUCUGCGCCAGCUGGUAACAACAAUUUUCCCAGUCUCGUAUCUUUCGGAACGGAGCGCCCUAGUGCAACGACUGCCGGGUACAGCCUAAGAACCUCGUGCAAGAUCAUUGUUACCUGUGGCAUUGAAUCAAUUAAAGUAAAUAUAGAAAAAUGUGCUCUUAAUUUGGUCCAUUAUAAUCGGAGAACAGGACUUACGACUUUCAGACGGUUCAAGCCAUCAGAAUCUGGUUUACUGUCACCAAAAACUUCCAAAACCUCUUCUCUUGCCUUAGUCUGCCAAUGUGGAUGCCUUGCCAACAAAAUCAUUGUCCAAACCAGCAAAACGGAGGUGGUCUCUUGGCCAGCAAAGUAAAACAGCUUGCACUCCUCAAUCACAUCUUCAAUGCUCAUUCCCAUGUUCUUGUGAUCCCCUUGUUCUUGAAUUUCUCUAAUGUUGGAUUCUACAAGUAUGCCUAACAAGUCAUCAUUACUGACUUCACUCGCCUUAGUUGCCUCCUCUCUUUUCUUUAUCAUUCCCUUCAGUGAGUCUUUUAUAUCUUUGGCAAUCACCUUCAUCUUCCUGUUUGUCUUAGUUGGUAGAUACCUAAUAAGACAAAUGUAAAAUAUAGCUUUUAGCACAUAAAGAAGAAAAUCCUUGACCAAAAUGGAUUGAACUGUGAAAAAUAACAAAUUUUACCUCCAUCCCGGAAUGUAAGCUGACUGUACCACUUGCAUUGUAAGACUGGUUUGAUCCUCUAGUAGUUGGAAAAUUCGUCUACCUUCUUCGUAGCUGCUUCCAAAUGCUGCUCGGGAAAUCACAUCUCUUGUCAAUUUUACGAGGUAAGGCCACACAUCUAACUCACUAGACCCCUCUAAGAAAACCAGCUUCUCCCAUUUGCUGAUCAUCUCAAUACAACUUUGAUAGAAAGCUGGCAACAUGUUCUGUAAUGAUUUCCACAUCAGGAUAAGAUUACUGUCAUUGGUACUAUUUUUGAACAAUUAAUACAUGUAUAUACUAAGUACUCAUUAACACCGUAAGCAAAUUUGGGAUGAAAUAAGUUAAUUUUGGUGCAGGGAGCCAUAAAUUUUCCUCGAUGUUUCUCCAUUAUUACUGCAUUUUCCAGGUGUUCCCAUAAAGGCUUCCUCACCAGCCACAACACUCAAAACAAACCAAGGAAGGAAUACCCAGUGCUACUCUGACUCAGUUGCAAUAAUUACCUCACCCAGGAUAAUUAAAGGAUGCAUAUUGAUAAAGAAAUCAAAAGUGGAAAUAGAACAUGCCUUCAACUUAUCUUGAUGAAAUGCAGGGUUGAUGAUCUUUCUAUGCUUAGCCCACUCCUCUCCAUCGAGGUUUACAAGUCCACUUACAAGUAAGGUGACAAGAGGGUUGCUAUGCGGCUUCUGAAAGUCAUUGAAUUUGGUAAAUAUCUCUCUUAUUUCUUCAGGUUCCAUGAUGGUCACCCUUGGAAUCGGACCAACCCAAGAAAAAGAACUCUUGCCUGCAUUUUCCCCAGAUUUCAUAUCAAAGCAUUGGGAAUUAAAAUUUUAAUUCAAAGAUUAAUUAAAUGCUUUCAGUGUGUUUAAUUACUCAAUUUUGAAUAUUCCUUUAAUAAAAUGUUAGGUUGUUGGAAUCUGCCUCAUGUACUUAACCAAUAUUUUAUAAUUCUUGUAUUUGAAUACUUAUGUUAUCCAUUAAACUUUUCAAUGCCAUUAAAACAGUAAUAAAAAUUUAUUCAAUAAUCAUUUUUGAUAAUGUACAGAAAGAAGAAGAAUUGAACAAUUAUUAACCCAAACAUGUCAUCAUACCCAACUUCAGCAAAAUGGCUUGUGGGCUCCAAUGGACUUUUGGCUUAUCCGUCACUUUCAUGUAUUUUUUAGUUUUUCUCCCAUUUGCCAUUUCAAUAUUAAAAUACUCCGGGAAAAAAAUUGGCUUAAAUUACUCAUACUAAACUUGAAUUAUGUUGUUCAGAAAAGAUUUUCCUAUAUUUUUUGAUCUAAAUUUAAACAUUUUCUUUCUGAUAGUAUUUCUUUCAAUUAAUCACUGUUUUCACUGAAUAAAACUUCGCAUGUUCAACAAUCACAGUAAUUGACACAUAUCAUUAAAAUAAUCAUCGAUUAAAUGGAUUCAUUUAAUUAUGUAUCAAAAAAUUGAUACAAAAUUAAAUACAUGUUAAAACUGAACGGACUAAAACCAUUUUUCAUGUUACUAAGAUGGAACAAAACACUAAAAAUUUUGUAAUAAAAUCAUAAUUUGAUCCAAAAAGACAACAUUCAAACUAUUAAGGGAUGAAAGAAGACCAUUUCCAAUUUAGGCAUACCAUAAUUCUUGACAGUUUGAUGAAGGAAAGGACCAACAUAUUGCGUAAUAUCAUCACCGAGGGGCAUAGGUUGGGAUCUUGCUUGUCUGCUCAUGGCGAAGCUCUCUUUGAUAUCUCCAGACAAAAACCUGUAAGAAUUGCCUGUAAGACCCUGUUGCCUCAGGCACCUUUCCAGCCUCUUUGGCUUCACCCACACCCAGUCUACGAUUCUCCAUCCCCAUAUCAAUAUCCCAACAACAAGGAAAGAAAGCGAAAUUCCAAUUACAGGGGGCACCUCCAUUUUUCUUUGCUGAGAAAAUGGUGUCUGAAGAGUAAGUGGGUUGUUUACGGAAGAGUAGACAAAGACUGAGGUUGGUUUAUGGGGUAAAAAGCUUGUGCAAUGGGCAAAGACAAAUGGUUGAUGUUACAGCUGAUAAGAGGUUCCUGGUGUCAAGGCAGGCGACGUGUACCUAAAUAUGACGAUUUAUGUUUUCGUAUCGUAAACGUAUCAAACACGAUUAGACACGAAAUAUAUUAAAAUUAAAUAUAAAUAUGAUAUAUUUAAUAUUCGUAUUUUAAAUUUAAAAUAUAUACACAUAUACGUUUAAUAAACGUAUAACAUGACACGACACGAUUAACACAUUUAUUAAACGUGUCAAUUUAUAACACGAUACGAUUAAUAAUACGUUUAACAUAAUUAUAUAAAAAUAUUUAAAAUUAAAUAUAAUUUUAUUAUUUAAAUUUAAAAUCUAUAAUUAUAAAAAUAAUUAUAAUAAAACAAAAAAAAAUAAUAUCAAAUAUAAUGAAAUUUAAUAUAAAUCACAUAUGCAAAAUUUAUUAUCAUAUAAUAUGAUAAAAUACAUCAUUAACAUCUAACUUUCAAAUACUAAUAAUAUAAAAAAUCAUUCAUAAUUUUUAAUCAUAAUAAUUACAUUAUUACAUUUAUAAAAUUAAAAAAACUUAUUAAAAUAAUUAUUUAAAAUUAUUUAUAUAAAACUAAAAUAAUCUUUAAUAAUUAUUUUUAAUAAGUUAAUAAACGUGUUACAUAUACACAUUUAAAUACGAUAACACGAUUAAAAAAAUAUAUUUAAAUGUGUUUGUCGUGUCUGACACGUUAAGACAAAAUUCAAACCAAAUUAAGAGUUUUUUUUUUGAAAUUCAAACCAAAUUAAGAGUCUAGUGUUAACAUUACACCAGCAACAAAAUUCAACUAGGAUGGGAAACACCCAAAACCUCUAUUUAGGGGUUUGAAAGCCCUUGUUUCCAGUGUUUGAAGAAAUCUGAAAAAUGGUACAAAAUUAACCAAUGGUUUAUUGGUUUUCAGAUUUAGACAAGUGAACUUAGAGUAACUUAUGUGAGACUUCGGAUACUCUUGAACCUUGAGCCAAUUAGAUAUUUCACAGACAGAUUGGUUCUCCUGAGUUUAAUUUUCAAUGUCUCAAAAGAUCUUUUUUGUUGCUUAAAAGAGAAAGCACCAUAGUUGAGGUCUAGCAAUUCAUCCCAUAAGUACAUGCUUCAUUGAGAGUUUGAGACUUGGCCCCUACGCUUGUAUUUGAAUUGUGUUACACUAUGAACGCUAGAUUUUGAUUAACAUUUACAUGAUGAACGAUGAACGUGAUUAUUGAUUGGGUUGUUUAACAUAUAACCUGAUGGUUUUACCACUAGAGUUUAUGUAAAAUUAUGUGAGCACCAUGCUGUGGACGUAGAGUGAUGUUGGUGCAGGGAGAGUGAGCAUAGGAAGGGGAAAGCUCGAACCAGAAUUGUCUGAGGAUCAUUGCAAGCGCCAUUUUUGCUUCCAUCAGAGCAAAGUUCUGUCCAAUGCAGAUUCUAGGACCCCAUCCAAAAGGGAAAUAUAUGACUUGACUCUUUGUUGCUUUCGAAACCCCUUCCGAGAACCUGUCAGGAUUGAACUCAUGUGCAUCAUCGCCCCAAAGUUCUUGAUCAUGGUGAAUCAGCAGCACUGGCAGCGUAAUUUCUGCGCCAGCUGGUAACAACAAUUUUCCCAGUCUCGUAUCUUUCGGAACGGAGCGCCCUAGUGCAACGACUGCCGGGUACAGCCUAAGAACCUCGUGCAAGAUCAUUGUUACCUGUGGCAUUGAAUCAAUUAAAGUAAAUAUAGAAAAAUGUGCUCUUAAUUUGGUCCAUUAUAAUCGGAGAACAGGACUUACGACUUUCAGACGGUUCAAGCCAUCAGAAUCUGGUUUACUGUCACCAAAAACUUCCAAAACCUCUUCUCUUGCCUUAGUCUGCCAAUGUGGAUGCCUUGCCAACAAAAUCAUUGUCCAAACCAGCAAAACGGAGGUGGUCUCUUGGCCAGCAAAGUAAAACAGCUUGCACUCCUCAAUCACAUCUUCAAUGCUCAUUCCCAUGUUCUUGUGAUCCCCUUGUUCUUGAAUUUCUCUAAUGUUGGAUUCUACAAGUAUGCCUAACAAGUCAUCAUUACUGACUUCACUCGCCUUAGUUGCCUCCUCUCUUUUCUUUAUCAUUCCCUUCAGUGAGUCUUUUAUAUCUUUGGCAAUCACCUUCAUCUUCCUGUUUGUCUUAGUUGGUAGAUACCUAAUAAGACAAAUGUAAAAUAUAGCUUUUAGCACAUAAAGAAGAAAAUCCUUGACCAAAAUGGAUUGAACUGUGAAAAAUAACAAAUUUUACCUCCAUCCCGGAAUGUAAGCUGACUGUACCACUUGCAUUGUAAGACUGGUUUGAUCCUCUAGUAGUUGGAAAAUUCGUCUACCUUCUUCGUAGCUGCUUCCAAAUGCUGCUCGGGAAAUCACAUCUCUUGUCAAUUUUACGAGGUAAGGCCACACAUCUAACUCACUAGACCCCUCUAAGAAAACCAGCUUCUCCCAUUUGCUGAUCAUCUCAAUACAACUUUGAUAGAAAGCUGGCAACAUGUUCUGUAAUGAUUUCCACAUCAGGAUAAGAUUACUGUCAUUGGUACUAUUUUUGAACAAUUAAUACAUGUAUAUACUAAGUACUCAUUAACACCGUAAGCAAAUUUGGGAUGAAAUAAGUUAAUUUUGGUGCAGGGAGCCAUAAAUUUUCCUCGAUGUUUCUCCAUUAUUACUGCAUUUUCCAGGUGUUCCCAUAAAGGCUUCCUCACCAGCCACAACACUCAAAACAAACCAAGGAAGGAAUACCCAGUGCUACUCUUACUCAGUUGCAAUAAUUACCUCACCCAGGAUAAUUAAAGGAUGCAUAUUGAUAAAGAAAUCAAAAGUGGAAAUAGAACAUGCCUUCAACUUAUCUUGAUGAAAUGCAGGGUUGAUGAUCUUUCUAUGCUUAGCCCACUCCUCUCCAUCGAGGUUUACAAGUCCACUUACAAGUAAGGUGACAAGAGGGUUGCUAUGCGGCUUCUGAAAGUCAUUGAAUUUGGUAAAUAUCUCUCUUAUUUCUUCAGGUUCCAUGAUGGUCACCCUUGGAAUCGGACCAACCCAAGAAAAAGAACUCUUGCCUGCAUUUUCCCCAGAUUUCAUAUCAAAGCAUUGGGAAUUAAAAUUUUAAUUCAAAGAUUAAUUAAAUGCUUUCAGUGUGUUUAAUUACUCAAUUUUGAAUAUUCCUUUAAUAAAAUGUUAGGUUGUUGGAAUCUGCCUCAUGUACUUAACCAAUAUUUUAUAAUUAUUGUAUUUGACUGCUUAUGUUAUCCAUUAAUGUUUUCAAUGCCAUUAAAACAGUAAUAAAAAUUUAUUCAAUAAUCAUUUUUGAUAAUAUACAGAAAGAAGAAGAAUUGAACAAUUAUUAACCCAAACAUGUCAUCAUACCCAACUUCAGCAAAAUGGCUUGUGGGCUCCAAUGGUCUUUUGGCUUAUCCGUCACUUUCAUGUAUUUUUUAGUUUUUCUCCCAUUUGCCAUUUCAAUAUUAAAAUACUCUGGGAAAAAAAUUGGCUUAAAUUACUCAUACUAAACUUGAAUUAUGUUGUUCAGAAAAGAUUUUCCUAUAUUUUUUUAUCUAAAUUUAAACAUUUUCUUUCUGAUAGUAUUUCUUUCAAUUAAUCACUGUUUAGGCUGAAUAAAACUUCCUAUGCUCAACGAUCACAGUAAUCGACACAUAUAAUUAAAAUAAUCAUCGAUUAAAUGGAUUCAUUUAAUUAUGUAUCAAAAAAUUGAAACAAAAUUAAAUACAUGUCAAAACUGAACGGACUAAAACCAUUUUUCAUGUUACUAAGAUGGAACAAAACACUAAAAAUUUUGUAAUAAAAUGAUAAUUUGAUCCAAAAAAACAACAUUCAAACUAUUAAGAGAUUAAAACGAGAUUUAGUAGAUGAAAGAAGAUCAUUCCAAUUUAGGCAUACCAGAAUUCUUGACAGUUUGAUGAAGGAAAGGACCAACUUAUUGCGUAAUAUCAUCACUGAGGGGCAUAGGUUUGGAUCUUGCUUGUCUGCUCAUGGCGAAGCUCUCUUUGAUAUCUCCAGACAAAAACCUGUAAGAAUUGCCUGUAAGACCCUGUUUCCUCAGGCACCUUUCCAGCCUCUUUGGCCUCAUCCACACCCAGUCUAAGAUUCUCCAUCCCC